UACGGGGGGGGCAAGCGUUGUUCGGAAUUACUGGGCGUAAAGGGCGCGUAGGCGGCUUUGCGUGUCUUUCGUGAAAUCCCUCGGCUCAACUGAGGACGUGCGGAAGAAACUGCAGGGCUGGAGUCCGGGAGAGGAGGGUGGAAUUCCCAGUGUAGCGGUGAAAUGCGUAGAUAUUGGGAGGAACACCGGUGGCGAAGGCGGCCCUCUGGACCGGUACUGACGCUGAUGCGCGAAAGCGUGGGGAGCAAACGGG
Molecule: ribosomal RNA, 253 nt
Filed under: uncultured bacterium
Lineage: Bacteria
Description: partial 16S ribosomal RNA
Rfam family: Bacterial small subunit ribosomal RNA
Source: RNAcentral